Molecule: non-coding RNA, 48 nt
Filed under: unclassified sequences
Description: ssNA-helicase RNA
Rfam family: ssNA-helicase RNA
About the family: Firmicutes, Actinobacteria (1 example).
Source: Rfam by way of RNAcentral
UUUCCAAAAGCCAGUAUUACCUUUUGGAAACAUUUGUAUUUUGUAGCA